CCUUAUUGUUGUACACUGAAAAGAGCGCUUGAAAGGUUUUCCCGAUCUUGCAUAUUUUUUUUAGAAUUCUUAGUCUCCACUUUUCAGUUUCCACAAUCCCUUUCUCCUGGGGGUGGAGUGGGGGCGGGGGAUUUCUUUUCUGUUUACUGUCUCUUCCCUUCCCCUACAACUGCUGUUUUGUUGCUUCUUGUAAGUCACUUCUCGAAAACGAAUGAGUUGCUUUCCACUUCAUGGGAAGUUUGGAUGAGCUGCCCCAAGUUCAUUUAAAGGAAAUUAGGAGAGCGAUGAAAGUUUGUUCCUAUUCUAAAUUAUUGAGAGGGAUGGCUCUGAUUAAUUACUCUUGCUAUCGUUAUUAGCUCAGAACUAACGGGCCCAUACAUAUAUCAAUAUUGUACUGAUUUGAAUGAGGUGUGGAUACACUGGGUGUACGGAUGGCUGACAAAGUUUAAUGAUUUGCGAUGUAUAUGUAGACUACAGAAGCAAGAAAACCACAGAGAUAAUUGUCACGGUUGAGGUAGUGAUCUAGCCAGGCGCCUGGGUGGCUUAGUCGGUUGAGCCUCUAAGUUUGGGUCAUGAUCCCAGGGUCGUGGGAUAGAGCCCUGGCUGGGGGGGAGGGGGUCUUUGCUCUUUGCUGAUAGCACAGAGCCUGCUUGGGAUUCUCUCUCCCUCUCUCUUUCAAAACUAAGAGGAAAAAAAUGGUGGUGAUCUAGCUAUUUAUCAUUCCCUACUCCCUGCCCUGGCCUCUGGGAACUUUUGAAAGUUAAGAUAUGCUUACAUGAAAUGAUACAUGUUGACCUUUGGCAUGCUGACAGGCAUUUUCCCCCCUGUGGUCUUUAACUUCUUAACCUGUUUUUCAGGAAAUUCAGUUUCUACUGGGUUGAUUCACUACUGUGCAAGAAGACAGAGAAUAUGCACUUUUAGGAAGGAACCUUUUUAUACAUAUUCUUUCUUCUGGGAGAAAGUCCUUAUUUCUUCAAGAAUAUUUUCAGAUGUUGUUUAAGGCAACGAGCCAGAGAAUGAUAAAGUUGUUCCAAGCAAGUUUGGGCACACCUGAUUUAGCAAGUCUCGCUUGUGAACAGGAGCUGUGAAGGACUACGUGGUAAGUUUUAUAUUUUCCCCAAACGAAAACAAUAAGAAACAAAGCAAUCCUCCAACCCCAAACCAAAAAAUAAAUAGAAUAAGAAAGAGUGAGAUAUACUAAGC
This 1203-nucleotide long non-coding RNA is filed under the name Felis catus (domestic cat). Its description in RNAcentral is "lncRNA (ENSFCAG00000052942.1)". The record is from RNAcentral. Lineage: Eukaryota; Metazoa; Chordata; Mammalia; Carnivora; Felidae.